ACGAACGCUGGCGGCGUGCUUAACACAUGCAAGUCGAACGGAAAGGCUCCAGCUUGCUGGAGUACUCGAGUGGCGAACGGGUGAGUAACACGUGGGUAAUCUGCCCUGCACUCUGGGAUAAGCCUGGGAAACUGGGUCUAAUACUGGAUAUGACCUUUCUCCUUAUGGGGUUUGGUGGAAAGUUUUUCGGUGUAGUAUGAGCCCGCGGCCUAUCAGCUUGUUGGUGGGGUGAUGGCCUACCAAGGCGACGACGGGUAGCCGGCCUGAGAGGGUGAUCGGCCACAUUGGGACUGAGAUACGGCCCAGACUCCUACGGGAGGCAGCAGUGGGGAAUAUUGCACAAUGGGCGGAAGCCUGAUGCAGCGACGCCGCGUGAGGGAUGACGGCCUUCGGGUUGUAAACCUCUUUCAGCAGGGACGAAGCGUAAGUGACGGUACCUGCAGAAGAAGCACCGGCUAACUACGUG
Molecule: ribosomal RNA, 466 nt
Filed under: uncultured bacterium
Lineage: Bacteria
Description: partial 16S ribosomal RNA
Rfam family: Bacterial small subunit ribosomal RNA
Source: RNAcentral